Long non-coding RNA from Tripterygium wilfordii, 748 nucleotides. RefSeq lists it as uncharacterized. The transcript has 2 exons. Lineage: Eukaryota; Viridiplantae; Streptophyta; Magnoliopsida; Celastrales; Celastraceae. The record is from RefSeq and is a predicted model, not a curated record.
GGGGGGGAAUUGAGAUUGUGUCCAAGACCAAAUUUAAAGCCACAGCUCAGGCUGUUCUGUACUCGAGUUGUGUGGCUGGUUUUUUGUUGUUGUUUUUGUAAAGAUUUGUUUCGUGAAUUUUGUUGGUUUUCACUGUUUAUUGGCAGGAAGGGAGCCUUCAAUUUAUUUUAAGUGCACGGCUAAGUUGUGGUUGCAUUUUCUUAGAUAGACUCUUUCUGACGAGGAAACUCCCCAAGGCUGGGCCACGGUGGGCACAUCUUUCCACUUUCUCAUAAUCGCUUGCUAUUUGUUAUUAUCAGUUCCAAGAUGUACCAAGGGGGAUAUGAUGCCUAUACCUUGGAGUUCAUGGCUGCCCAGAGUUUUCUUCCAUCUUCAUCAACCUAUGUUUUCCAAGUCACUUCUCUGGUUGAUGUGCUACCUGCUUAUCGGCAACUGGUACCAUCAUAGCUUUAAGUUCAUUGGAUUGUCACAUGGUACUUGAAUUGCUCUUUUGCCUGUGGGGAGUUAUCUGAAGUCAAAAUCAUAACUGAAGAGACAUCCAAAUAUGACGGUAUUUCACCAUCUUUUUCUUUUCUCGUUCUCUGUUAAUGGAGAACCAAAUUAGCUUCUCUAAUAAUUGUUUUGGUAAAUUUUGCGUUAAUGUAUAAUAGCUGGAUUGCCAUCUUUCAUUACGGCUUUUGGUUAAAAAAUUGAUCAUGCAUUGAUUGCAAUAUUGUUCAGAGAAAAGGGAAACUUUUGUUCCCCCUCC